This is a long non-coding RNA of Oreochromis niloticus (Nile tilapia), 1446 nucleotides long. RefSeq lists it as uncharacterized. The transcript is spliced from 7 exons. The record is from RefSeq and is a predicted model, not a curated record. NCBI's taxonomy places the organism in Eukaryota, Metazoa, Chordata, Actinopteri, Cichliformes, Cichlidae.
CCACAGGUUAAUACACUCUACUGAUCCCUGAUGGGAGAAUCAUCACCUCUGCCAACAAAGAAGCCUGGUGGAUAUUUGUUUGCAGUCUGAUGAUGGGACAUCAUGCUCUGCAUCUUCAAAUCUUUUUGCAGGAUCAGAAAACAAAACCAGGAGGCCUGUAAAUGUUUCUUCUCCAAUUGGAUGAUGAUAAGACUGUGACACGGGAUGCCACAUUUAGUCUUAUGAUGAAGCAAAGCUCAGGAAGAAGUGGGAUUAAAUGGUACCCACAUGUGUGCUGCUGAGAAGGAUGUACAGGGGCACCUGCAGCCAAAUCCAAGCCUCCUCAGCAACUUCAAGUCUGUCAGCGUGCUGAGGUCACAGAAACAAGAAAAGCAGCUUGACUUCAGAGUGUUGUUUACAGUUUUCUGUCAUCAUGAUCUCCCCUGAAGUUUAUCACUAUUACACAAGCAAUGGUGAUGGUGUGGAGAGACGGUGGUGUUUCCUCAGAAGAACUAGCAGAGUCACCAAGGACACGAGUCCAUCUCACCACCUUGACUUACUGACUGAUGCUCGUCUGCACUGCACAGAGGAAAUCAACUGACCGAGGUAAAUCUCCAGUUUCUGAGUGAGGGAGAGAGGAGUCAUCAUCCAGGUAAAGUGACGUGGAUCAGUGGAUACACUUGUCUCCCCUUUAAAGGAGACACUCUUAGAGAGAGACGAUCCGAGUCAUCAUAAAAUAUGGGCAGGAUAUCACUAUUAGACUGUCUAACCUGCCGGAGCAGCACUGAAUGAUCACCACACAUGAGCAUGUUCCUGCAACAUUCAGCAUCUGAUCUGCCAUCUGUGUGCUUCUGCUUUUGUGUCAAAUGUCAAACAGCUGGAGAGGAAACUACACCAGUGUACUGGGAUGUUUCAUCAACACGUGCCAGACGCUGUUCCUUCAUGGUGACAUCACCAGAGACAGCCCCGCCCACCUCAGGACCUCGCCAUUGAUCAUGAUGAUUAUAAUGAUGACAGCGAGCGGAACUAAGUCUGUAAAAAUCCACGACCAGAAUGUUUAGAUGCUUUCUAAUUAUUAAUGAAUACUGAGAGCCUCUUUCUGUGUUUUGUCUGUUUUGUUUUGUUUUGUUUUUUACCUCAUUUGUUACUAACAAAGUUCACCAAACUCACACAGUUUACAUUCUGUAUGUUUCCAUCUUUACCAGCCACACUCUACCCGCAAUUAAGCAAAUAAUCCUUAGAAAUCGUCGUUUUUCUCUUUUGUAAUUGGUGAUAAUUCAGUGAAUAUACUGCGCUGCUUCCUUUUAUUGCGUCACACAUUGCUUUAAGUUUUUCAGUGUCCAGUUAUUUUUUUACUGCUGUUUGAAUUCUCUGUAUGUUUGACCCUGUAGACUGUUUAAUGGACUGCUUGUCUUGUAACCGCUGCCUGUUUUUGACUAAAGAUUUGGAUUUCUGACUUUAACACAG